GUCCCCAUCGUCCAGAGGCCUAGGACGCGGCCCUUUCAAGGCUGAAACCAGGGUUCGAAUCCCUGUGGGGACGCCA
RNAcentral lists this transfer RNA (76 nucleotides) under Acidobacteriota bacterium. Its description in RNAcentral is "Acidobacteria bacterium (drinking water metagenome) tRNA-Glu". It matches the Rfam family "tRNA". From Rfam's summary of the family: Transfer RNA (tRNA) molecules are approximately 80 nucleotides in length. Their secondary structure includes four short double-helical elements and three loops (D, anti-codon, and T loops). The record is from RNAcentral. Lineage: Bacteria; Pseudomonadati; Acidobacteriota. RNAcentral also lists the same sequence under 1 other name.